ACUCUAGUCCGACUUUGUGUAAAUGACUUGAGAGGUGUAGUAUAAGUGGGAGCCGAAAGGCGAAAGUGAAAUACCACUACUUUUAACAUUAUUUUACUUAUUCCGUAAAUCGGAAGCGGGGCACUACCCCUCUUUUUGGACCCAAGGCUUGCUCGCAGGCCGAUCCGGGCGGAAGACAUUUUCAGGUGGGGAGU
Molecule: non-coding RNA, 194 nt
Filed under: Nicotiana attenuata
Lineage: Eukaryota; Viridiplantae; Streptophyta; Magnoliopsida; Solanales; Solanaceae
Description: rRNA LSU_rRNA_eukarya
Rfam family: Eukaryotic large subunit ribosomal RNA
Source: Rfam by way of RNAcentral